CAGAAACCGAGACAAAUCACUGCGCGCCACUGCCGCUUCGGAGCAUCACGUCGUUAUGCCCCAAAAACACAACGGGGGAAGGAAAGGCCACCGUGUGUCCCCCUCCCCUCCCCCCCCCCCCACGCCAUGGGACACAGCCCUGCACCCAACGCAGCCGUGCUGUUUGUUUGGUGACUGUUCUGCUGUGUCUAUUUUUAGCUGGUGACGCCCGGGGUAUUUCGCUUCAGGAUGUCCGGUCUGAGCCUCUUUCUGGGAAUCCCAUGUUCUCUAAUUGUAAACAGCCCCACUCAGUUGCUGCAAGCACCGAGAGGCCCCGACUCAUACAGCGGGGCUGUCAGGUGUGAGUCAAACAGGAAGCUGCUGCCGCUUCCACAAGCAAAGCGUCGGGUGUGAAAAAGUGCUCCAUUCACACAGCCCCACAGCCCAGCCCAGAUCCCACAGCGUGGGGUGCCUCUGGAAGUGGGACCGGCUCCGUCCCUCCUCCAAAAUGCUGUCCCUGGGAGAAAAAGGGCUCCCGAGGGCCUCGCGCGUGGAUGUCGUUGCAGUGGUGCAAAGGGAGAGGGGAUGGGUGAGAUUGGGACGGGAUGGGAAGGGGAUGAGGAUGCUGAAGGAAUGGGAUGGGGAUGCUGAUGAGGAUGGGAUGGGAUGGUGAUGCCAAUGUAGGAGGUGCAGAGGCACAAGAGGGGACAGGAUGGAAAUAGGGAGCAGUUUUAGCCCCAUCUCCCACCCCGUGGGGCUGAGCUGAAGCAGCUGCCAACUUGGCUCAGAAACACUGACAGGGAGCAGUUUGGUCCUCUGCUAACAGCAGCCUGCUGCUGCCCCUGUGCAUUAACCCAGCCUGGGGUGACCCAAACACAUGUUCCCUGGGCCUUAGGAGAUGGGCAUCCAGGUCUGCAUCACCCCAGGGCCCAAGCACUGUGCAAAGGGAUGGGGUGUAAGGGCAUAGGAUGCCCUUACAGGAGAGGACCUGCCACAGUGACCACAACUAUUGCAGCAUGCAGGAUAGGAAGGCACUAAAAUGUGUGCCCUAAUUUCACUGGGGCCACAAAGAGCUGCAGCAGCACCAGCAGCCCUUUGCACCCCACCAUCUGAGCCCUCAGAUUCCUGCAAGCAGCAGCGAUGGCACCACGCUGCUCCCAGGGACCCAGCAGCAAUCCUCACAGCUCCACUGCUCUGAAGGUCCCAAAUGUCAGCAGUGCAACAACAGAGACAGCAAAAUCCUCCCUUGUGCUCCUCUGAAAUUGCAGCAUCACGGAGCUUGGUGACCUCUGCAUUGGAAGCAAUUUUGCACAGGGUAGGAAGGUCAGAGCCAACACCUGCAGCGCUGUUACAGGAGGCUGAUGCUCCUCCAGCCUCCCCAGCACCACAAACCUGGCGCACCUUGCAGCCUUUUGGGUCCCUUUGGGACAUCACACUCCUCAGCCAUCCCCCCGCCCAUCCCUGCCCUCUGCAUGGGCUCAAAACCCAGUGAGGAACUGAGCCAGCUGAGCAGCCCAUGGUGCUUUCACGGCUGAGGAGGGGCAGAGGACAGUGCUUACAGAAGGGUAAGGAUGGGUAGGAUGCUGUAACGUAGCCUGUAGGAACCCAUCCACACCAAACAUCCCCACGGACCUCAGCACUGAGCUCCCCAAAAGGAGCCGUGCGCGGAGCACGGUUGUACCCAUCCCUUAUCUGACUCAUUUCAGCAUCUCAGGGGAAACCCUGGCAUUGAUAAACAGCGCUCUGCUCUCUGCCUCCACAUUCACCAACCGAAAUCUGGAGUCUAUUUUUAACCCUCUGACACCCACAGCCGGGAGGGAGCCGGCAGCUCCCCGCGCUCGUGCCGUUGUUUACCGGGUGGGUGAAGUGACUGCAGCACUGGUGAGGUAUCGAGCAAAGUGAGACCAAAACAAGAGUGCUGAUGUGUCAUGCCACCACUUUCCAUGCUCGGCGCCUGCACUGUGCCCCCGGAUGGGGUAUGCAAAACCAGAAAGCUCCCAUGCUUUAAUUUUCCAGCACAUCCCCAGAUGAGUGUGCUGCUCAGCCUGCUCGUGGUCCACCGCCUGCUGGGGGGGGCUGGGCUGCAUGCAUGGCCAUGGAUGAAUGGGGAAAAGAACCUAAGGAGGAGAUGGGUUCAUCCUGCAGCACGGAUGUGGCAUGAAGGCUGCCUGAAUCCAGCAGGGCGGGCAGAGCUGCCACUGCUCGGAGCCUUCAUGGAGCUUUUUGCACGCUGCUUGUGCACGGGGGAGCGGAUGCUUUGUGGUCAGGGCAGGACACAGUGUGCUUCCUCCCGUUCUGGAGGAUCCAAGAGCAAAGCUUCCAGCUUUCCCUUGGGGAAACACCUCCACUCUGACCACUGCAGGAUAGAGAGGUCUGGUUGUAAUUCCUGCCUGAACAAAGGCUGCCUUGAACAGCAGCGUCCCAACCCCACCGCAGCACAACACCUGGUGCUCCCUUCCCAAAGCCCCCACACUCUCUGCAAGGCUUUUGGUGACCGCUGACUCCAGGAUGGCUUUAGAAUUGCUGGCUGGUUCCUGGCACCACAACAAGCAGCUCCUUUUGCUCUGCUCUCUGCCCAUCCCCAGCUCAGCUGGGAGGCAUCGCAUCACCCCGGUCUCCUCAUCCAGCCAGGAGCCUCACAUCCAGCAACACAACCUCACCUAGGAGACAUUCUCUCCUUGGGUUUAACGAUGGAAACCAUCUGCUGUUGCGUUGCUCAGAGCUUCACGCAGACUUCUUGCCUUCUCUCUGGGCACCAACUUUAAAGCUCCACCUUGCCUCCCCAGCAGCCCAGAAAUAACUCAGAAGACACAAAUCCAUCUGGUAGCCCCAGUUGGUCUCCAUUUCCCCAUCACAGAGGGGGCAGAGCCAUGUGCCUGUCUCCGAGCUGCCGGUCCCUCUCCGGCUCUUCCUGCUCUGCUGCAGCGUUGUGCUGUAAAACCUUCAUUUCCUGACACGCAUGGGAUGAGGCCAAGGGGUCGUGUUUUGGACAACCUGCCUUUUCCAUGGCAACUGGCAAUGAUGUCAGCGACGUGCAAUGAUCGGAAGGGGCCGGGGGAACGGUGAGCUCUCCAGGAACCAGGCAGGAGGGGCUGCUGUGGUGGUGUCCUGGGCUGGAGGAGCCCUGAAGGCAUCUGCCCUCCUCCCAGUCCCAUCCCUCCAUCCACCAUGCUGCUCCAUUCACUGCCAUUGCACAACGCAGAGCAUCCAAUGCUCUCCCCUACAUGGGUGUCUGCAGGACGUGUCUGUCCCGUGGCUGUGGGGUUCUGAGCUCUCCCAUUCCCUCUGUUCCUCCCCAUCACAAACCCCCUCCCUCGAAGGGGGCCCUUUUACAACAGCAAAGUAAUUAAAAGCUCCAGCAGAUGAGGACACCGAUGGCCAGCAUCAGAUUGAAUGCUCCCACACAGCCAUGUCUGUCUGUCCACCUGUCCAGGCUUGCUGUGGCCGGAGGCAUCUGCCGCCACAGCUCUGAGCACACUGCUACAGCAAAGUCCUGUCUGGGUCAGCUCUGAAAUACCAACAAACACACAGAUCAAAACCACCCUCCUAUGCACAGAGUUGCCAAGGGAUCCCCAUCCCAGCUGCCUUUGGUACAACUGGAAGUCCUAUGGACCUCUUUUCCACCUCAAAAGAACCUCUCCAGGUGGGAAGCAUCAUCAGCUCUGUCCCCAUUCAUUAUGCUAUACGGACUGACCUGGGCGUGCUGCUGCAGCCAGAAGGGAGCAAAGCCAGAAGAGCAUUGCAGAGAUGAGAAGCAAGAUUCUGGGAAGCACAAGCCAUGCACCCACAGCAGAGUUCUCACACAAAUUUAUUGGGUAAUCAGUAAUAAUCACCAGCAUUCCCACAGAGCACUUAUCUGCCUAAAAGUCCCAGCAAGGAAAGGAGCAAACAGGGCAGGCUUGGUCCAGCUCCCUGCUUUAACUCUGCCCAUGACAGCAAGUUGUCCAGGUGACCUGGUACAAAUGUACCCUCCUCAACAGCAAAUUGCAUCCGGAACAACCCAUAGGCAUCAGCAGAACAGCAGGGAGAGGCAAAUGGGGUGAUCGUAGGCAUGGAUCUGCACCAAGCGGGUCCAUGAAAGCAGAGGGAUGCGCUUGUGCUGUUGGUGGUAGCACAGAACUGAUGACAAACACCAUCCAAACAGUGGCAAACCUCACCCAAACAGUGGGAAACACCACCACAGUGGUGACAAACACCAUCACAGUGUGACAAACACCAUCAAAGCAGUGAUGCUGCCUUGCCUCCGUAUUGGACCUCAUUGGGAGACUUCAGCCAAAUGUGGGGAAAUGGCCCCACCGGAGCCUAUGGGAACCCAACAGCAUUGGGGUGGGGAAAGAGAAAACAAAACAACCCCACGAGAGGACUUCCAAAAACGCUGCACGAAAAGUGAACACUCAGCAGAGCGAGGUUUCCUGCGCAGUGAGAGUUGGCCGCCGAGUGAACAGGAAAUCACUGCUUCCUGCAUGCAGAGGAAGUGCCUAUCUAAUGCCUGUGAUCAAAAACAAACAUCGCUUCCAUUAAACAAACAAAGGGCCUAAAAACUUCAACAGCUCGCAGCCCAGGUCAGCUCCAGCAGCAGGGGGAUAGCGGCCAAAAAUAAGAAGCUGGUCACCUUGAGAAGGGCCCUCGUCCUCUUCCCUGCGUGGCAAUGUGGUUGCACUGCGUGCAGGAGGCAGUGGGGGGUCGGUGAGCCCCAUCUGUGUCCCCAGCUCUGCUCUCACCCCACAGCAUGGAGGGGAUGGGGGUGGGCACCAACAGUGACCGCAGUGCUUGGGUUUGGUAAAGUGUUGCUCGGAUGCCCUCUCGACCUUCUCCAGGUGAACAGUGCUGGGGCUCUCAGCAUUUGCCCAUCAGGACAUCCAUCAGCUCUGCACCCUCCAUAAGGAUCUCUCCAGCAGUUCCCAGUCUGCCUGGAACUGGGGAACACAGCACUGGGCCCAGUGCUCCAGUCAGCCUUUGGUCAACCCUUGGUCAACUGUUGGCCAACAGGGUUACUAUCGGCCUUCUGGCCAUAGGGGCACACUGCUGGCUCAUGGUCAGCCUUUGGUCAGCCAGCUGCCCGUGCUCGGUCUCUGUGCCUUCUCUUGGAUUUGUUUUGAGAUUUCAUUUCAUCUCUAGAAAUUCCAAACAGCUCUAGAAUUCCCUUCCAAACCGCUGCAGAGAUUCUCUUUGUUCGAAUGCAGAAUCCCUUAUCUUCAGUAUAAUGAAUUCAGGCUAUGGGGAUAGGAAUACUUUCUUACUCCAGAGAAGGACUUACAGACCCCGGGCUAUAAAUCACCCCCGUGAGCAACACAGUCGUGAGGCUCUGCUCAUCUCAGGGCUGGAGGACGCUGCAGGCUGCGCAGCGCCCAGGGACCUCGUGCUGUUAUUCCAGCUUGCUGCAAGCCUUUUGUUUUUGGACAAAUCCCAGCUGGGAGAUUGAUGUGAGGAGGCAGAGCAGGAUCCAGGUGCUGCCCGGCCAUGCUGGGGAAUGGAUCUGUGCAGAGUCCAUCCCCUGAGUUAUGGGCUCUGGGUGUCACCGAAUGCUGCACGCGUGCUGUUUCCCAGACUUAAAGCACAGCCAUGGAGAGGUGGAGGAGGUGGUUUUGCUUCAAGCCCAAAACAAAGAGUGGGGGUUUUUCCAGCCCUGGCUGAGCCCGAAGCUCCGGCAUCGCUCAUUCUGCACACGUCUGAUGCUCCAAACCGUCCUGGCUGGAAAAACCCUGCACUCCCAGCACGAAGCUGAGCACACUAAAAAGAAACAAAGAGGCCGGGGCUGACGCAGGACGGCGUGUUUGAAAGGCAGCUCUCCUCCGCAUUGCUCACAGCAAGACGAGAUGAGAAAUGUGCUUCAGGAACAAAGGAGGGCAAGCAGCAAACAGGGCUGACCCGUGGGGACAGGGAAAGGACAUGGAGACAGGGAAAGGACACGGGGGCAGCACCAUGCACGCCAUCUCCUUGCACCCCCCACCCCUCUGCACCCCCCACCACCUCGCUCGGCCCUCUCCUUGCUGUGGGUUUGCACCAGCACUGCAAAGCCCAUGAUGGCUUUUGCAGACCCGCAUGCAUCCGCCAGGCCCAGCACAGGGCAGGACGCAGCAGCUUUCUCCUCUGUGCAUUUUGCACUCGGGAGAUGCCAACGCGGAGAGCAGCAGAUCCAACCGCAGGCUGAUGGAAAAAAAAUGAUUCCAGCAUCACCCAAAGCCCCGCAACGGACAGCAAAUACGAAGGGUAAGGGAACGUGCACCGGGGCCUUCCUGUGUGGCCACCACACAAAAUCUAUUACUGAGCAGUUUGGCCAGUGAUAUUAAAACCAUCAGGUGCAGCCAGCACGGAUCUGCUGAGUGCUCACAGCACUGAGGCUUUUGGCCUGGUGCACCUGGUUUGUUAAAGAAAUAAUUACAGUUCCCCCAUUUCCUGCUCUGGAAAGAAAACUUCCUAACUAAUCAUAGCCAGUUCAUAUGCAUUUAAAGUGCAUUCAUUCUCCUAUGCAACCACAUAACACGAGGCCGUGUCCGUGCAGGAGGAUCUGCCCAUGGAUGCUCCUUUAAACGCCAUCUGCUCCUUCCUGAUGCAGCGCUGCAGCCCUAUGCUGGCGGAUCGAAGGGCUGCUGAGGCCGUUCCAUCCCUGGCUGGAAAAUCCAUGCAACAUCCCUGGAAAGUUGCUGGCUGCUGUGGAAGUGGCGGCCAAUUUCCUCAUUGUGAAGGUGCCAAGAACAGAGAUGAACUCCCGGAGGCUGCGACGGAGGGGGCUGUGGGCACUGAGCUGGGAAAGAUGGCAGAAGGAGCAGUGAGGCUCUCAGCUCCUCCCAGAAAUCAACGAGACUCAGUGAUGCCUCACAUCCAAGGGCUUCGUCUCCAUUUAUACGAGCACUCAGCUCCUGCUGGGAGCACAGCUGUCCCGGGCAGCACGGUGCUCAGGGGGUGUCCUCCUGCUGCAGGCUCUGGUCGGUAUCACAGCUGAUGCUGCUUCAUUCCAUCUCCACCUUUACUUCUGAGUUGUGAAGCCCAAUGUUAUCCCUCAAUGGGGUUCAGCUGAGUGUGGCAGUUUUCUGUUAGCUGAAGGACUCGGAUCCUCCCUGGAGCGGAGCAGCCCUUCCACGACCACCCAACCCAUCACCCAUCCCCAAACCCCUCCACCUACAGCUCCCAUCCCAUAUCCAGGCACCCCAUAGCAUUGCCCAGAGCUGCUGCAUUGAGCAGAACUCCCUAUGAGCAAAUGCCACAAACACAGACGGGAUGGGGGGAAAACAUGCAGGGUUGCAUUGGACCAAGAAAUGUGAUUUUAAGGAGUCCAAAAAGCUCAGCACGCAUUGAGGCUGCUCUGACUCAGCGCUCUGAUUGACUUUUGCACAACAGGUUCUGCUCUUUCAUACCUUGUGUGAUAAUUCCCCAGCCGUAACACCCAGAAUCACACCUCAUACCAGGAGGUUUCUCCUUUCAGAGCCUCCCACUGCAUGCUCAGGGCACAAAGCCCAUCUCCUCAGCCUCACAUCUGCACCUGAUGGCACAGGCAUUCCUUUCUUCUGUUUUUUACCCCCAAAGAAUUCAGCUCCCAUGAGAUUAAAGCACACUGAAGGCUCAGCACUGCCCGGGUACCCCGUUGCAUGGUACCCCAUUGCAUGGGAGAAGUGGGGCACAUCGCCCUGCCUCCCCACACCGGUGGCCAAAGCCUGUCCAGAGCUGCUUUCCUACAGCAGAUACAACCACUCAGCACCUGACCCAAUUUCCUGCUCUCAGCUGCAAUCUUCCAGUGUUUUUUAACACGAAAUCCCAUUGUUUGCACGUGCCCAGGUUUACCCUGUUAACCCAUAUCCCCCUCCGUCAGUCUCUUUUGUCUGUUUUCCAUCAGCUGCUCCCAAAGCCCACACCAGGAGGAUUCCACUCAUCCAGAUUAGAAGCACAAUCCAAUAUCCCUCGUGGUUGGGCUGAGUGGUUGCCAGAAGAGCCUCUUCCUCUUCCUCCUCCUCUUCCUCCUCCUCUUCCUCCUCCAGCCACCACCAGGUUUGUCCCCUUCACCUGGCCGGAUUCCUGCUGGCGUGGGAUCCACCCUUACUGUGGUUCUCCCCCACCUCCCGUCUGUGUUCCAGAGCAGGAAGCAGCAACGUGGGAAGCUCACCUGUAAUAAAGCUUUGAGGCUUUCUUAUCUCAUUUUGGCACAGAGGAUUACAACAGGCUUUGGGGGCUGCUCUUUUCCAUGCCCGGUCCCAAAGGCCUCAGACACCCCGUGGCAUUUCCCGAACUCAGAUACUGUUUCCUACGAAUCAGAUUUCAGCACAGACAGCAGAUCCUGGAGACAGAUGGAGACGAGGAGGAAAAUCCCCACACGAGAGCUCAGACAUCGACUGCAGCGUCUGGCUGAUUGGGCUGCGUGCUCUGCUCGGCCCUUUGCAGGGUCUGCAACACCUGUGGCACUGCUGCCCUCUGCCCCUCUGUACCACACGGCUGCACAGCCCACGUGCAUCACCUGUCCUUAUUCUGCACGCUGCAUUUCUCCCCACUCCCCAAAGUAAGGUGAGGGUAAGGAAUGCGCUGCGAGCCACUCAGAGAGCAGAGGAGCAGACACGAGCAGGACAGGGGCUGCUCUGAUCUCAGCAUCCUUUGGAGUUACAGCCCCUUCUCCUUUGUUCCCAUUGACACCUGAGAGCAAAACAGCAGCAGAGGCAAAGAGAGGACUGCCAGGAAACAGCGCUGCAGCCCCAGCCUGCACUGCUCCCCACGGCCCCACGUCACCAAUCCAUGCACAGCAGAGCUCCCUGCUGCUCCAGCCCAUCUCUUGCUUUGCUGCUUAAAACAGGAAAAGGCAGCAAGCAGAGCAACGCGGGCAGCAGAGGAGGGGUGCAGCCCCCCACACUGUGCAGCCCCCAGCUCCAAAACCACACCUGGCACCGCAGGACGGCCCUCCCGCAGUGCAGCUCAUGGGAACACGGUUGCAUCACGUUUGUUUUGCUUUGCUUUGCUUUGGAGAGGAGGAUUCCUCCCACCGUGUUGAGCAGCCCGUGUCACACGGCUGGCCCAGAGAGAAGUUUCAGUUCUUUACAAAAAAAAAAAAAAAGAAAGAAAAAGAAAAAGAAAAACCCAACAACCAAACCCUGCCCGGGAAUGGGAAUGUGACGCUCUUCCCCCUCCCCCGGCUGCAGCCUUCCAAGUUUCUAUGAGUCAAACGUUUGCAAUGUGUUACCGAAAUGUUACCAAGCUGGAAUGCGGCAUCCGAGAGGGUUUCGCUAAUAAAACUUCUGUUUGUUGGCUGGGAGAAAAGUGACACCGGCACAGAACGCCGCUCUUCUGCCUUUUGCUUUGCCCAUCCGGGUGCUGAGAGAGAGGAACCCGACGAGAGGGCAUCGAUGUCCCAAUGGGAAAUGGCGCUGCCAGGGGAGAUGCUGAGGGAAGUGGUAAAUGCGAUGCUGCAGGUGGGGAAUGGAGGUGAAACGUCGGGGCUGGUCCUGCAGCACGGUGAGGAUGGGCCCAGAGCUGAGAGCCCGAAGCCCUUCAGGCAGGUUUUGGAUCAGGAAUUGGGUCAGAUUUUGGAUCCUCGCCCCGCAGCUCCUGGGAUCAUUGCCGCUUCAUGGGAUGGCUGGGUUGGAAGGGACCUCCGUCCCAAAAUGGGGAUUCCAAUGAAGACAACUGAGCUCAAUUCUCUACAGAGUUCUAGGAAACCCAGUGCUUCCCAGUGUCACAAAACACACAGCAGGUGGGAAUUAGGUGAUCUCUGAGGUCCCUUCCAACCCAACCAUCCUAUGGUUCUUUGAUGACGAGAUGGGUUUUGGUUUUUGGGUUGGAGAACCACCACUGACCUGUCCUGGCUAUUUCCAGCCCGUGCGUGCUUUCUCCUUUGAUGCCAUUGGAACAACAAUGGUGGAAAAGAGGGAGUACGAUGGACCUCCUCCCACCUCCAAAAACCAACUCCUGGUUAAGCAGGUCGUUGUGAGACCAGGAACAGCCCAGGUCUACAGAGGCAGAAGUUCAGUUUGGCUGUUCCAUGGGAAAAUGCCCAUUUAUCCUCAAAAUGGAAGCAGCAACAUUCACAUUCAACAGAACGAAAGGGAACUUGGGGGGAUCCAUCAGACUUCUGUGGGUUUCUCCCCAAAUACAGAGGUGUUCCAGGCAGCUCCGUCCUGAAGGAGCCCUGCAGUGUCCCCAUAUGGGGUCACUCCUGCUCUGCUCGGAGCCAAUCCUGAGUUGCAAACUUUUCCCCCGUUGGAUCCUGGCUUUGUGUGCACGUUGAGGUGCGUGGAGUCCUUUCACACAGCAAAGUGCCAAAAGCAGAGCUGUCCAAACCCAGAGAUAAGGGACGGGGCCUUGCUUUAACAAAGAGGCAUUUCCAUAUCUGAGGAAGUGAGGCAAUUCUGCCUCGUUAAGAAGGCUGACAAAAGUCUCCUAGGAGGAAGAAAGACAGCAAAAGAUUAAAAUCUGUGCAUUUCAGAGGAGGGCAGCCAGGAACGCUCACGUCCCAUCAGCUGCAGGCAGACAGAGGCCGCGUGGCACCUUCCAGUGCUGGGAGUGCUGGGGGUGGUGGAGCUCAGGGGGUGCCUGGAGGGGAUGGAGAGACCCAGAGAUGGAGCAGGGAGUGAGCAGAGCUUUCAGAGCUGCCCUGGGACCCAUCCAGGGAAGGAAAGCCAACGCUUCGCUGCUUUGAACUCAGCCGUCGUCGUGCAGACGUUGAGCCGCAGUGCUCUAAUCCGUGCUGGCAUGUUCCAAGAGCACUUCUUCGAGGCUUUAUCGUGAAGAAAGCAAACCUCUCCACAUUCCAGCAGGCUCCUGGUAUCCCCAGCGAUGCACACAGUGCUCUCCAAGGGGAAUCUUCACGUGGCCUGCUCGUGUUAUUUGCCAUCCGCACGGCUGCUCCGUGCGCACACCCUGCUGCACUGAAGGGUGCACAUGGAGACGAAGGAUUCCAAAGUUCCUGCUAAUUUGGAGGGGAGUGUAGGAUAGCAAAGGGGAAUGCAAAGCCAUCCAUGGAGAGCGCUCACACCGUGCAGACUGCUCUGCAUCCAGCAAUGAAACGGCUCCGGAUGGGCUGCGUUGGCCUCAUUCUGGCUCUCUCUAUUGAAGACAAU
Molecule: long non-coding RNA, 11015 nt
Organism: Gallus gallus (chicken)
Lineage: Eukaryota; Metazoa; Chordata; Aves; Galliformes; Phasianidae
Source: Ensembl